UGGCGGAUGGGCAUGCGUCGCAUUAGUUAGUUGGCGGUGUAACGGACCACCAAGACGACGAUGCGUAGGGGUUCUGAGAGGAAGGUCCCCCACACUGGUACUGAGACACGGACCAGACUCCUACGGGAGGCAGCAGUGAGGAAUAUUGGUCAAUGGGCGGGAGCCUGAACCAGCCAAGUCGCGUGAGGGAUGACGGCCCUAUGGGUUGUAAACCUCUUUUGCCGGGGAGCAAAGUGCCGCACGUGUGCGGUUUGGAGAGUACCCGGAGAAAAAGCAUCGGCUAACUCCGUGCCAGCAGCCGCGGUAAUACGGAGGAUGCGAGCGUUAUCCGGAUUUAUUGGGUUUAAAGGGUGCGUAGGCGGACGCUUAAGUCAGCGGUAAAAUUGCGGGGCUCAACCUCGUCGAGCCGUUGAAACUGGGUGCCUUGAGUGGGCGAGAAGUACGCGGAAUGCGUGGUGUAGCGGUGAAAUGCAUAGAUAUCACGCAGAACUCCGAUUGCGAAGGCAGCGUACCGGCGCCCAACUGACGCUGAAGCACGAAGGCGUGGGUAUCGAACAGGAUUAGAUACCCUGGUAGUCCACGCAGUAAACGAUGAAUGCUAGUUGUCCGGGGCGAUUGAGUUCUGG
Molecule: ribosomal RNA, 626 nt
Filed under: uncultured bacterium
Lineage: Bacteria
Description: bacterial SSU rRNA
Rfam family: Bacterial small subunit ribosomal RNA
Source: RNAcentral